UGGGGAAUCUUGCGCAAUGGACGAAAGUCUGACGCAGCCACGCCGCGUGAGUGAAGAAGGCCUUCGGGUUGUAAAGCUCUGUCGGAGGGGACAAAAACCUUUUGGGUUAAUAGCCCAAGAGCUUGAUGGUACCCUUAAAGGAAGCGCCGGCUAACUUCGUGCCAGCAGCCGCGGUAAUACGAAGGGUGCAAGCGUUGCUCGGAAUUAUUGGGCGUAAAGGGUAGGUAGGUGGUCAUAAAAGUCUGGGGUGAAAUCCCUGAGCUCAACUCAGGAAGUGCCUUGGAAACUUUAUUACUAGAGUGCUGGAGAGGUUCGCAGAAUUCCCGGUGUAGCGGUGAAAUGCGUAGAGAUCGGGAGGAAUACCAGAGGCGAAGGCGGCGAACUGGACAGCAACUGACACUCAACUACGAAAGCGUGGGUAGCAAACAGGAUUAGAUACCCUGGUAGUCCACGCUGUAAACGAUCGGUACUAGAGAUGGUGGGAGUUGACCCCUGCCGUCUCGGAGCUAACGCGAUAAGUACCGCGCCUGGGAAGUACGGUCGCAAGACUA
This 551-nucleotide ribosomal RNA is filed under the name uncultured prokaryote. RNAcentral's name for it is "bacterial SSU rRNA". It matches the Rfam family "Bacterial small subunit ribosomal RNA", at positions 355 to 896 of the family's 1533-position model. The record is from RNAcentral.